AUGCAGGAACAUGCAUCAUUGCUGGAAAAGACACCAUGCAGUCCCCUAUCACAACAUACUGCUCGACCACCAACAUGUAACCAAAUAUCACCCUCACCAGCUAAAUCCCUGAAAUCUGGAGAUUUAGAUUUUCAGUCUAGUGGAGAUUCCAUUGACAUCUUAAGCCAAGCUUUAACACAAGACGAAGAAGACAACAUAAUCCACUCCAAGACUAAUUUAUCCACAGAAAACACAAAUUUAUCCCUGGAAGACUCCAUUUGUGAUGAAUCAAUUACAUGCUCAGCUUCUGAGGUCCUGGAAGGCAUCCAACAUACCGAGUGCAUUACUGACCAAACAGUUUCAAUCAAUCAGGCUGUUCCUGUAAGCCAAAAUCCCGACUUGUCUAUUUGCAAAUAUGUUGAAAAAGCAUGGAAGGACUUUGAGAAGGAUGCUAAGCAAAGAAUUAAAAGUUUUGCACUAAGCUCUAAGAUGCACGAGGGCACGAAUAUUAGCGAUGGCAAGCCAAAAGAGAAUGUGAGUUUAAAAACUAAUUCAGAGCCUCAGCUGUGCUCCCAUGGCUUCACAUUUGGGACCAUUGUAGCCCCACUUUAUCAUCAGGUUUUUAAAAACAUGGAAACAGAGAGACAAGACUUCUUUCCAAAACCAUUGGAUAGGUCAUUUAGGGAACUGGAGGAUGAGAGUCAAAGAGCGGUCAAAGCCCAUGAGACCCCAGACAUUUGGCCAGAGUCUUGCAUAUCUACAAAACAGACAGUACAUGAUAUUAGUGUUGGCAUCUGCAAUGAAUCAGCAGAACAGAACCCACAACAUACAGUAAACCCAACCAAAACUCUUUCUGAGCCAAAUCAGUGUAAACAUGUUGAGAAGGCAGAAGCUUCUUACAAUCAAAACUAUUAUACCGGUGGUAUCCGAGAGUACCCAAGAGACAUCAAAUUUACUGAAACAAACCUUCCAAAAGUUACAUCCAGGCAGCCAGAUCCUCCACUUGGAGAAGUUUCAACAGUGUGCACACAAGUUUUCACUGAAUGCUCGUUCCAGGAUGAUUCUUGCCAAAGUCUAUGUUUAUUUCCCUUACAAGGACCAGAACUUUUAGCCACUACAAAUGAAACAAUAGAGUCAGGUAUUGACAGCCUACCUGAACAGAUCCAUCCUUCAUCACCCAUAGAGGUUUUCAAAACUUCAUGUUUGGAUAAUCAGAGGUCCUUUAUAAAAACUGAAAAGUCACAAAACCAGGAAGACCCUACAAAUAUCUACACCAAAGAGGAAAAUAUAUCAGUGCAAACAGAAUAUUCAAUCAGCACCUCUUGCAUUCUUGCCCAAUCUCCAGAUGACCCCACAAGGAUCAGCUUGGGUUCCUCUCAUGAUAAAUUAGAGUCUGACUGCUGUGAGAUGAGAUCGAGCAUUGAAAAACUUUCUCAUUUAGCAAUAGCAACAACUAUGCCAAUAGAACCAUAUACAGAAUUGGAGAACACACAGAUAAAUAUGAGCAAUACUUUGGAGAGCUGCCAAAUGAAUGAAAAGAAGGAACAAAUGCUCAUGGGUUUUUCUACACAGACUUCAGAGAUGGAGAGCUCCAGUAUUAUUAAUUUUGAUGGAGAAUGUAACACAUCAGUGAUUAAAGAGAUAGAAGAAAUUCACAAAAGCCUGGAAGAGCAAGAAAAGGGAAAUGAAAAUCAAAUUAAGCAGAUGGAGAAGCAGAAACAAGACAAAGAGGAGAAAGAACAAGAACCAGAAGAACAAGAAGGUGCAGAAGGAAAACAUGAAGUUAAAGGAGGAAUAAAUGGCAUUGAAGAUGAGUUGAAAUACAUAGACGAUGAAGAGGACCUGGAUGCAAUGGAAACUGAGAGAGAAAAGAAACAACAAGAAGAUGCACAUGAUCUGCUUUCUCAAGAUGCAGAGGAGCAGAAGCAGAUCAUUAGUACCGACACUGUUAAAUCAUUACCACAACAUCAUAUUGACUUAAAUGAAAUAGAAAGUCUAGGUGAGUACUCAGAAAAAGAGGACAUGCACAUCAACCAUGGAUUAGAGAUCUGUGAGGAAACUGCUACAUCUUGGCAAGAAUCAUCUCAAAAGACUGAUAUUGAACUCAGUGGAAGUAUGCAAGCUAUGGAGAAUGAUUGGAACCUCAUUGACUUUAUUGAUAAAGAAGAGAAUGUGUGCUGUGAAAGUGUGAAAAGUGAAUGGGAAACUACUGAUGAUGUAAACAGUAUGCUGGAAAACAUGGAAUGCCUGGCAAAAGACUCAGUGAACAGAGAUCUUGAAAACGUUGAAGACAAUACCUCAACAGAAUCGCAGAUAGAUGAUGAGAUGGAGCUGUACCUGAACAGUCUGAGGAAUUCACAACAGUCAGUAUUCAGAGAAGGCACAAUGAGUGGAAGCUACGGCAAAAGACCCUCCUUGAGCAGAGGAAGGCCAUUAGCUAUGCCUUCAAUCUCUGAGUCUAUGGACGAGGACCAGCCGAGUAGUUCCCUAGAGGAUUUAACAAAUAUUGAGUACAACAUGAAGCUGGAGAGAGCUACACUGCCCCUAGUUGAUGGGAAUGAACGUGUCAUUGGACGUAAUGUCUUGUGGUGGAAAGAGUUUCUGUCCUAUGACAAUAUGUCAAGGAUGACUAGAUACACAUUUUUGUUGAUAGUGUUUUUGGUCAUAGCAUAUUAUUAUGACUUCAUUGCAUGCUUUGCCCUAUAUAUUCUUACAGUGUAUUGGCUGUUUUAUCAAGCGGAGGAAGUGCCACUGAAAAGCUCUCAGAAAGGUGAAAGAGGACUGCAGUAA
This is a long non-coding RNA of Sinocyclocheilus anshuiensis, 2769 nucleotides long. NCBI's taxonomy places the organism in Eukaryota, Metazoa, Chordata, Actinopteri, Cypriniformes, Cyprinidae. The record is from Ensembl.